AUUGAACGCUGGCGGCAUGCUCUACACAUGCAAGUCGAACGGUAACAGGCCGCAAGGUGCUGACGAGUGGCGAACGGGUGAGUAAUGCAUCGGAACGUGCCCAGUCGUGGGGGAUAACUACUCGAAAGAGUAGCUAAUACCGCAUACGAUCUAUGGAUGAAAGCGGGGGACCGUAAGGCCUCGCGCGAUUGGAGCGGCCGAUGUCAGAUUAGGUAGUUGGUGGGGUAAAGGCUCACCAAGCCAACGAUCUGUAGCUGGUCUGAGAGGACGACCAGCCACACUGGGACUGAGACACGGCCCAGACUCCUACGGGAGGCAGCAGUGGGGAAUUUUGGACAAUGGGCGCAAGCCUGAUCCAGCAAUGCGGCGUGCAGGAAGAAGGCCUUCGGGUUGUAAACUGCUUUUGUACGGAACGAAACGGCUCUGGUUAAUACCAGGGGAUAAUGACGGUACCGUAAGAAUAAGCACCGGCUAACUACGU
This 481-nucleotide ribosomal RNA is filed under the name uncultured bacterium. Its description in RNAcentral is "partial 16S ribosomal RNA". It matches the Rfam family "Bacterial small subunit ribosomal RNA", at positions 30 to 506 of the family's 1533-position model. The record is from RNAcentral.